CUACGGGUGGCAGCAGUGGGGAAUAUUGGACAAUGGGCGAAAGCCUGAUCCAGCCAUGCCGCGUGUGUGAAGAAGGCCUUCGGGUUGUAAAGCACUUUCAGUGGGGAAGAAAGCCUUGGGGCUAAUACCCUCGAGGAAGGACAUCACCCACAGAAGAAGCACCGGCUAACUCCGUGCCAGCAGCCGCGGUAAUACGGAGGGUGCGAGCGUUAAUCGGAAUUACUGGGCGUAAAGCGCGCGUAGGCGGUCUGAUAAGCCGGUUGUGAAAGCCCCGGGCUCAACCUGGGAACGGCAUCCGGAACUGUCAGGCUAGAGUGCAGGAGAGGAAGGUAGAAUUCCCGGUGUAGCGGUGAAAUGCGUAGAGAUCGGGAGGAAUACCAGUGGCGAAGGCGGCCUUCUGGACUGACACUGACGCUGAGGUGCGAAAGCGUGGGUAGCAAACAGGAUUAGAUACCCUGGUGUC
This 463-nucleotide ribosomal RNA is filed under the name Vreelandella stevensii. RNAcentral describes it as "partial 16S ribosomal RNA". It matches the Rfam family "Bacterial small subunit ribosomal RNA", at positions 339 to 795 of the family's 1533-position model. The record is from RNAcentral. Lineage: Bacteria; Pseudomonadati; Pseudomonadota; Gammaproteobacteria; Oceanospirillales; Halomonadaceae.